GUGUCAGCCGCCGCGGUAAUACGUAGGUGACGAGCGUUGUCCGGAAUUAUUGGGCGUAAAGGGAGCGCAGGCGGUUGGAAUAGUCUGAUGUGAAAGCCCACGGCUUAACCGUGGAAGGUCAUUGGAAACUGUCCAACUUGAAUGCAGAAGAGGUAAGUGGAAUUCCAAGUGUAGCGGUGAAAUGCGUAGAUAUUUGGAGGAACACCAGUGGCGAAGGCGACUUACUGGUCUGUAAUUGACGCUGAGGCUCGAAAGCGUGGGUAGCAAACAGGAUUAGAUACCCGCGUAGUCC
RNAcentral lists this ribosomal RNA (292 nucleotides) under uncultured prokaryote. RNAcentral's name for it is "partial 16S ribosomal RNA". It matches the Rfam family "Bacterial small subunit ribosomal RNA", at positions 505 to 796 of the family's 1533-position model. The record is from RNAcentral.